Molecule: long non-coding RNA, 762 nt
Filed under: Chrysemys picta bellii (western painted turtle)
Lineage: Eukaryota; Metazoa; Chordata; Testudines; Emydidae
Description: lncRNA (ENSCPBG00000015755.1)
Source: RNAcentral
CAAAUAACAUGGAAUUAAUUUUGAAACAAUAUCUGAAGCAGUAAAGAAACAAGUGCUACUUUUUUUCAACAGAAAAUUUAAAGCAGCAAGAUGCACCCUAUCAGGACUUUGAGGAGAAAGGAUCCCAUACCCACAACAUGCCAAUGAAUGGGCUCAUUCUACUCUUGAUGAUCUCUUAGAAAAAAUUCUCCAACCAAUUCCGGAGGAUGAUGAAGUCCAAGGAGAACCUUGGGAAUGCCUUGUCAGGGCAACAAACCUUAAAGAUCAAGAAGCUGAUGAAAUGAAGAGUGGAAUAGAGGAAGGUGGCACCAAGGCAGAAAGCAGAGAGACUGAAAGCUGUGCAGGGAAUACUGAAGCUACAAAUCCUGAGGAUCCAAAACCCAGCUUAUGGCAGCGGCUGCCUUGGCCUUCUCCAUUCAGCUUUUCUGUGCCAGGGAGUGGAACGUGAUGUUACAGCCCACGUGUGCUUUGUGCUUCGUUGGCUCAUUAGAUGUGACAAGGUAAUUUCUUGUUUUCUCAUUUUGCGGAAUUCUUGUGGUAUAAAUUGAACUGACUGAAAUGAUUUAGAGAAUUUAUCUUCAUGCAAAAGUGAAUGACUGAGUCAGUACUCUGAAGGCAGCAAUAACAUACAUUGCUAGUUUCAGGCAGCGAUGUGUGAAUAACUGGUUGGUAGUAUCAAGACCUCUCUUAUUUAAUCAAACCAUGCCUCUAAUGGACCUGAUCCAACGCCCAGCCAAAAAAAGAGUCCCAUCGAUUUAAUUG